This is a long non-coding RNA of Lolium rigidum, 1702 nucleotides long. RefSeq lists it as uncharacterized. The transcript has 3 exons. The record is from RefSeq and is a predicted model, not a curated record. NCBI's taxonomy places the organism in Eukaryota, Viridiplantae, Streptophyta, Magnoliopsida, Poales, Poaceae.
CUCGUGCGCAUCGACCCGGAUCCCCAUCUUGGUCUCUCGUGCGGAGCGGCUAGGGCUCCGCUGCUCUACCGCCACCAUAGGACCACCCUUCGCCGCCUCCCACCUCCACUCCUGCUGUCGCUCCUUCGCACCGCGUUCCGCCACAGCCACACAACAUGAGGAUGUGCAGCGCAAGGCGGCAGGGGCAACACCCUCCUCCUGUCGUUCCCCGUCCUCAGGAAUGACGUCUGGCUCCUCCACGACGCGCCGCCGCCGCUGGCGACGCCAUGGAACCCCGUCCUCUCCAAGAGCCGCCUCUCACUGGCGGCCAUCAGCAACGCCUUCACAGAUUUCCGCGACUCGGGGCCGUCUAUCAGGACUCCCGAUGGCGUCGCCGCAUACGAGCCUGAGGAUAUCGACUUCCAUGACGGACGCGGCGGCGCGCGAGUGCUUAAGGAAGAUGCUCGUGUUGGCGCCGGUGCCCUGCUUCGUCCUCUUGCCCCUUUCACUUCCUCCCCGGCACCGGUAAAGUCACAAUCGCCAUCACCUGCCUCCCCUGCCUCAAACGUGGUAGUCACACUGCCGGCUAAAAGCUGUUGCAAUAGGGAGAAAAGUGAAGAUAUACAGGUACAGCUCUCAACCCUUGGAUUUCUUUGUAUAUUUCUAUGACCAAUUUCUUCUGUACAUUUCUAGAUCUGUCUCGAAUGCAUUCUGGUUGUUAAAUAUAAGUAGCAUCAUUUUGUAGACUGGCCAUGUCCGCAUACCCCAGUUGGUCAGUGUUGCUUUUCUUUCUUUGUAUCAGUGUGCUCUUUUAAUUUCGAUUGCAUGGAUCAAUCAUUCACCAGGUAUGUUGUCUUGGUAAGCAUUUGUACAUCAUAUGCAUUGUUUCUGUUCUUAAUAUAAUUCAAUUUGUCUAAUUGAUUUGGUGGGUCCUUCUAUUUUUUUUUUGUUAGGCACUUGUAGCCUGCUGCAGGAUAGCGGCGCAUGGAUGGAGGCAGCUAUGUGGAGAUUCCGGAGGGGGUCCCAAGAGCUGAGGACCGAAUGCUACUUUUGAUGCCUACUGCUACAUCCGCUGAAGUUGCAGGAGGAAGUUUCUGCCGAGUUUCAUGAGUCUCCUCUCAUUACCAGAGAUGUUGUUCUCACCGAUUACUGUAUAUUGUGCCGUGCGGUCACAAUUUUGUUAGCUUGUGUGAAGCUGUUCUCGCCGAAUACUGAUGGGAAGUGGCUAUCCUUGAGUAGCUGCAUGGUGCUAUUGUUAUCUGUGAAUAUUUGGGAGCUAUCUUGGGUUGUUGUUCUUUUUCCGUAUCACGAAGGAUGACGGUGGGGUGGGAGGAAGAGGAGGCUGUGCCGGAGUAUGACGAGGAGGAAUUGACAAAGUUCAGUAUGUUGAAUAAAUACAAGCAUGAAGAUUGUGCGGCCACCUUGAGCUCGGCCUCCCUUCCUGGACUCUGGCAGCUCUGAUCCCGCUGCUGAGGUCGUGUGCUAUGCUUUCUUGCUGCUACACCGGUGACCCUGGCUUGCUUCUGUAGGUUGGGCAACAUCAGUAAUGGUAAUGAGCAAACUCUGAGAGUGUAUGCGUGUCACUCGUUUCAUCUCUUUUGUGCGUGAGUUUUUCCUGUCUCAUUUGUGUGAAGCUGCUUCACGCAUGUGGAAGUACAAGUCAAGGUUUCUACCUUAUCCAGAAAAUGGUCUCAAAAGGCAAUCAACUGUUCUUAUUACUUUA